CCUGAGUAGCUGGGAUUACAGGUGCCUGCUACCACGCCCAGGUCUCUACUAAGAAGACACCUUAUCGGAGAGACUUUCUUUGGCCAUCACAUAUCAAAUAGCAGCCUUCCCACAACACUAUUUACUUCUUUAAUUUCCUUUAUUUUUCUGCACUCAACCAUAUCUGAUGUAUAUUUCUCCUAAGAUUUAAAUACCAGAACGAAAUUUUGUGUGCAUUGUUUGAACUUAUACAGUACCUUAAAGAGUGGCUGACUCAGUGACUAAUAAACAUUUUUUGACUAAAUGAAUGAAUAAAUAUCUCGGCAACAUACAAUUA
Non-coding RNA from Macaca mulatta (Rhesus monkey), 316 nucleotides. The record is from RefSeq and is a predicted model, not a curated record. Lineage: Eukaryota; Metazoa; Chordata; Mammalia; Primates; Cercopithecidae.